Leptopilina heterotoma is the source of this 386-nucleotide long non-coding RNA. RefSeq lists it as uncharacterized. The transcript is spliced from 3 exons. Lineage: Eukaryota; Metazoa; Arthropoda; Insecta; Hymenoptera; Figitidae. The record is from RefSeq and is a predicted model, not a curated record.
GAGGAUGUUGUUACGUAAAUUUUGAGCCAACAAUUCAUGCUCCGCUUUUAUCUCUUUUUACUUUAACUUCAAAGUGUUAAGUUUGUUGUAAGAAUUUUUCAGAGAGGAAAAAGAGACGUUGACACUUAUUUAGAGUAAAGAAGCGCUCUGCUAUUUCCACGUUCCAUAACGUAAGCAACAGUGGAAAACGACUAUAUUACUUUUUAAGAUGUUUGUUUUCAAGCAAAUGCGAGAGAUGCACAGCUGGUUCUCACACUUUGGCAGAGGCACUUAAGAGAAUUCAAAGGAUUUAAAAAACUCUUUGGUGAUUAAACUGAAGUAGAUUUUAAACAGGUUUUUCUUUUUCGUGAAUUAUUGCGUGCGAAAAAAAUGUAUUUUUGCUUUCG